Molecule: ribosomal RNA, 505 nt
Filed under: uncultured bacterium
Lineage: Bacteria
Description: bacterial SSU rRNA
Rfam family: Bacterial small subunit ribosomal RNA
Source: RNAcentral
CAGGAUGAACGCUAGCUACAGGCUUAACGACAUGCAAGUCGAGGGGCAGCAUUGGGAUAGCUUGCUAUUCAGAUGGCGACCGGCGCACGGGUGAGUAACGCGUAUCCAACCUUCCUGCCAGUAGGGAACAGCCCGGCGAAAGUCGGAUUAAUGCCCUAUGUUCUUCAAUGCGGACAUCUAAGUUGAAGGAAAGAUUUAUCGCUGGCAGAUGGGGAUGCGUCCGAUUAGCUUGUUGGCGGGGUAACGGCCCACCAAGGCGACGAUCGGUAGGGGUUCUGAGAGGAAGGUCCCCCACACUGGUACUGAGACACGGACCAGACUCCUACGGGAGGCAGCAGUGAGGAAUAUUGGUCAAUGGGCGAGAGCCUGAACCAGCCAAGUAGCGUGCAAGGAGGACGGCCCUACGGGUUGUAGACUGCUUUUAUGCGGGGAUAAAGUGCGGCACGUGUGCCGUUUUGCAGGUACCGCAUGAAUAAGGACCGGCUAAUUCCGUGCCAGCCGCAGC